AACGAACGCUGGCGGCAUGCCUAACACAUGCCAGUCGAACGAGACCUUCGGGUCUAGUGGCGCACGGGUGCGUAACGCGUGGGAACCUGCCCUUAGGUUCGGAAUAACUCCCCGAAAGGGGUGCUAAUACCGGAUAAUGUCUUCGGACCAAAGAUUUAUCGCCUUUGGAUGGGCCCGCGUUGGAUUAGCUAGUUGGUAGGGUAAAAGCCUACCAAGGCGACGAUCCAUAGCUGGUCUGAGAGGAUGAUCAGCCACACUGGGACUGAGACACGGCCCAGACUCCUGCGGGAGGCAGCAGUGGGGAAUAUUGGACAAUGGGCGAGAGCCUGAUCCAGCAAUGCCGCGUGAGUGAUGAAGGCCUUAGGGUUGUAAAGCCCUUUUACCCGGGAUGAUAAUGACAGUACCGGGAGAAUAAGCUCCGGCUAACUCCGU
RNAcentral lists this ribosomal RNA (432 nucleotides) under uncultured bacterium. RNAcentral describes it as "partial 16S ribosomal RNA". It matches the Rfam family "Bacterial small subunit ribosomal RNA", at positions 29 to 506 of the family's 1533-position model. The record is from RNAcentral.